RNAcentral lists this ribosomal RNA (532 nucleotides) under Crocidura poensis (Fraser's musk shrew). Its description in RNAcentral is "partial large subunit ribosomal RNA". It matches the Rfam family "Bacterial large subunit ribosomal RNA", at positions 1816 to 2586 of the family's 2925-position model. The record is from RNAcentral. Lineage: Eukaryota; Metazoa; Chordata; Mammalia; Eulipotyphla; Soricidae.
CACCUCUAGCAUCACCAGUAUUAGAGGCACUGCCUGCCCAGUGACAUUAGUUAAACGGCCGCGGUAUCCUGACCGUGCAAAGGUAGCAUAAUCAUUUGUUCCUUAAUUAGGGACUUGUAUGAAUGGCCCCACGAGGGUUUAACUGUCUCUUACUUUCAAUCAGUGAAAUUGACCUCCCCGUGAAGAGGCGGGGAUAUAAAAAUAAGACGAGAAGACCCUAUGGAGCUUAAAUUAAUAUGCUCAACAAAAUUUAAACAUAACCCAACAGGAGUAAUUAUAAUUUAACUGAGCAAUAAAUUUUGGUUGGGGUGACCUCGGAGUAUAACAAAACCUCCGAGUGAUUUAAACAAGACGUACCCGUCAAAGUUCAUAACAUAUUGAUCCAAUCAUAUUGAUCAACGAAACAAGUUACCCUAGGGAUAACAGCGCAAUCCUAUUCGAGAGUUCAUAUCGACAAUAGGGUUUACGACCUCGAUGUUGGAUCAGGACACCCAAAUGGUGCAGCAGCUAUUAAAGGUUCGUUUGUUCAACG